AUGUAUCGGAAAUACAGUAAAAUACAUUACUUUUUGGAUUCAUAUACAGUAAAAUACAUUACUAUGGGAUUCAUAUACGGCGCCUUUUUGGAUGCAAAGAAAGAGAUCUCAGCCAAGUUUGAAAAUGAACAACAAGAAUCUUGUUUUCAAGAAGUGUUGGAUAUAGUGGAUAAAAGAUGGGACAACAAAUUGAAGAGGCCACUACAUAGGGAUGGAUACUUCUUAAAUCCAUACUACUUUUAUGAAAACAAGCUACAAAUUUUGUUGGAUCCAACAUUUAAAGAUGGGGUUGUCAGUUGCAUGGGAAAAAUGGUGGAAGAUGUUCGCCUUCAAGACAAAAUCACAGAUGAACUUAAGGCAUAUCAAGGCGAAGAGGGGUCAUUUGGAAGAGACAUUGCUAAAAGGCAGCGGAAAAACAAAAACUUUGAUCCAGCUGAUUGGUGGUCCAAUCAUGGGUCAAGUGCACCAAAUCUCAGGGUAUUGGCGAUGCGGAUUUUGAGUUUGACAUGCAGCUCCUCGGCUUGUGAGAGGAAUUUCAGUGUUUUUCAGCAGAUUCACACAAAAAGACGCAACAGGCUACUUCAUGACAAAAUGAGAGACCUUGUGUUCAUCAAGUUCAACUCCAAACUAAAGGAAAAGAGAGGGAUGAAAAACAGGGACCCAAUUGAGGACCACACAUUUGUAGAUGUUGUAGAAGAUGAAGGUAAUGAGUGGAUUACUGGUGUUGUGUCUGUUGAAGGAGUGCAAACAGGAGUUGAACCUGAAGAUGUACAAGUUGCACAAUCAACAUCAGGAGGAGAAGUUGCUCCAUCAAAAAGAAAGAUAAUGUCUCAAUCUCGUCCUAGGAAGAAGAAGAAGUUGCUUCCUAUUUAUCGUGAUGAUGAGUUGCAAUCAGCUGAGUCUUCUUCUGAACCGGAAGAUGAUGAAAUGCAUUUACCAGUGAGUGAUUCUGAAUAA
This 957-nucleotide ribosomal RNA is filed under the name Triticum aestivum (bread wheat). Its description in RNAcentral is "partial small subunit ribosomal RNA". Lineage: Eukaryota; Viridiplantae; Streptophyta; Magnoliopsida; Poales; Poaceae. The record is from RNAcentral.